Callithrix jacchus (white-tufted-ear marmoset) is the source of this 1639-nucleotide non-coding RNA. NCBI's taxonomy places the organism in Eukaryota, Metazoa, Chordata, Mammalia, Primates, Cebidae. The record is from RefSeq and is a predicted model, not a curated record.
ACCAGGCACCAGGCUGAAGUGCAGUGGCACAAUCUCGGCUCACUGCAACCUCCACUUCCCGGAUUCAAGCAAUUCUUCUGCCUCAUCCUCCCGAGUACCUGGGACUAGAGGUACACUCAAAGGCAGAGGAAAAAACAACUAAAGAAGAAAACUGGAAUUGAAUGAUGACCUAGUCAUUUUCAACCUGUUUCAAAUACCAAAACUGUUCAGCAUUAAAAAACCCACAAAACAUCUGAAUCAGAGAGAACCUGCUGAUAAAAAAAGAUCCAAGAGUCUUGACUAUUCCAAAACAGAAUUUUAGAGCAGGAAAAAAACAAUGAGUGUCACUAAUCUCCAUCAUUUCACUACAGAGGACAAUGAAGCAUAAUGGGUACUGCAGAAUUGACCCCAACUUAAGGCAAUGGGGCUAGACUUUUGCAUGCAUAGGUCAUUGAAUGUAGGCCACCUGGAGGUGGAGGACAAGCAUAACUUCCUGGGUGAGCAACUUUCAGGGCAGCUGUGAGCCAUUGCAGCCAACUCUGAAAUUGAGGGCUGGUGUACCAAUCCAGUAAUGGGACUCUGGGCAGGGCACCAACAGCAUCUUCCACGGAGUCAAAAUUCAAACUCAUGUCUCCAAACUUCUACAGACCUUCUUUACAGUAAGUUGUGUUGUCCAAAGGAUACUUUCCCCUCUCCCCCUUCUCAUUAAACCUUAACCUCUUUUGCUUUCCUCCCUCUCAUUUAUUGUAAUAGUAAGCCAGGCAAAACAAAUCAAACCACAUUUAUUUCCUCCUGCCCGUUUCUUCAGCUGCUCAUCAUUGUGAGAAGCUGUGUUCAGUGUUCCUGAUGACAUCAGGUUACUGCUUCGACAUGCUGCAUUAUUUUGUGUCCUUGAAGAAGUAUGGAUUUUAGGAUUAUGUCAGUAAUGAUAGAUCUAAAAUUCACAUUUACAGCCUAGGUCCCAAUCUCUUACUUCUUUCUUAACAGAAUGCAAGAAAAAAGUAUUUAGAUCAAAUGAAUUCACUUAUAAACAACACACUGAAAAUGCAAAGAUAAUAGAAAUAAAAAGCUGAACCAGAGGGGAAGAUUCAAGUAAUCACACACCUUAAAAAAUAGAAGUCUGUGAAUUCAUGCUGGCAGACCUAAGUAGGUCAACUAAUCGGUUGUUUACUGUGCUGUUGGAUAUGAAGCAUGAUAAACUAAGCAGGGAGGAAAUUGUAUGAGUUCCAUCUCCAUAACAACGAAGAUGAGAACAAUUACAAGAGACCCUUGCCAGCCACCUCCACAAAAGCAGUUUUAACCUCAGAGCAAUGAGGAGUGACAUAGCAAACUACUGCUGAUGUCUGAACAACACAAGGCAUUGAGCCAGCCCUGGUUCCUUAUUCCUUGAAUUUCUUUAGGCAGUACAUUUUCAUUGUAUUGAGCAGCAGAGACUGGACAUCUCCAACUGCAGCCAAAUUCUACAAAUCAUCAAGAAAACAGUUUGCAAAGAAGUGAGAAAAUGUCAUUCAAGAAAACUUUCCUGGCUUGGGUGGACAUAGCCAAAGCAGAUUUGAAUAUCUGUCUUUGCAAUCAAAAUUUAUACCAGGAAGCUCUAAUGAAAAUGGUGUCACUCAACAAAUCUAUAUGUAAAUUCAUUCUAAACAAUUAAUUGCCAACA